AUGUGUUGUGAAUCCAGGCAGCUAAAUCCGAAGUCGAAUCCUAUAACAUCAAGUACUUGCUUUUGAAGAUAGCGGACAUCCUUCUAGAGAGAUGAAUCAUUUGACGUUAGUGACUGAUGAUACUUUUGCAAGCUUGCUUGAGCUUGCUGCUAAUAAUGAUGUUGAGGGCUUUAAACUAUGGAUCGAGCACGAUCCUUUCAGUGUGGAUGAGGUUGGAUUAUGGUAUGGUCGUCAAAAAGGCUCGAAACAGAUGGUUAAUGAGGAGAGAACUCCAUUGAUGGUUGCUUCUACCUAUGGUAGCAUUGACGUUAUUAAGCUGAUCAUUUCAUCUUCGGAUGCUGAUGUUAACCGUGUGUGUGGCCGAGACAAAAGCACUGCCCUUCAUUGUGCUGCCUCUGGUGGGGCUGAUAAUGUUAUUGAUGUCGUGAAGCUGCUUUUAGCGGCCGGUGCUGAUGUUAAUAUGGUUGAUGCAAAUGGUCAUCUUCCUGUUGAUGUCAUUGUUGUUCCUCCGAAGCUUCGAGAUGUGAAAUUAACUCUUGAAAAACUCCUUGCAACUGAGAGUUCCUGUUUUGAUUCAAGGGUUGCAGCUGUUGCGAAUUCUGAUUCCCCUCCUCUGUCACCUUCACAGGAAAAUGGGUCAUUGUUUUCUGGUUCAGAUUCCCUGAUUAAGUCGAGGCCAACUGAUGCUCCUAUUUCUUUGGUGUCAGAGAAAAAGGAAUACCCAAUUGAUCCAUCUCUUCCGGACAUCAAGAACAGCAUCUAUUCAACUGAUGAGUUCCGAAUGUAUUCUUUCAAGGUGCGGCCUUGUUCGCGUGCCUACUCCCAUGAUUGGACUGAGUGCCCGUUUGUUCACCCUGGGGAGAAUGCUCGAAGAAGGGAUCCUAGGAAGUUCCAUUACAGUUGUGUUCCUUGCCCCGAUUUUCGCAAGGGGGCAUGUAGGCGUGGAGAUAUGUGUGAAUACGCUCAUGGUGUUUUCGAAUGCUGGCUACACCCUGCUCAGUAUCGGACCCGGUUGUGCAAGGAUGGUACUAGUUGUGCAAGGAGAGUCUGCUUCUUUGCUCACACAGCUGAGGAACUCCGGCCUCUUUAUGUCUCCACUGGUUCUGCUGUUCCAUCUCCUCGAUCUAGUACUUCAGGUGCUACUGCUAUGGAUUUUGCUGCUGCCAUGAGUCUCUUGCCUGGAUCACCUUCUUCUGUAUCUGUUAUUUCACCGUCUCCAUUCACUCCACCAAUGUCUCCGUCUGUGAAUGGCAUGCCUCAUUCUAAUGUUGGCUGGCCACAGCCUAAUGUUCCAGCACUGCAUCUUCCUGGGAGCAACCUUCAAUCUAGUCGCCUGCGAUCUUCUCUUAAUGCGAGAGACAUUCAAGCGGAAGACUUCAAUGUGUUGCCCGAUUUUGAUUUGCAGCAACAUCAGCUGAUAAAUGAGUUAUCCAGCCUUACUCAGCCAUCAAUGAGUUCAAGUUCUUUUAACCGAUCUGGUCGAAUGAAGACCAUGACCCCAUCAAACCUCGAUGAUCUCUUUUCUGCUGAGAGCUUAUCUCCGCGUUACUCCGAUCAAGCUUUGGCUGCUGCUGUUUUCUCUCCAACCCAUAAGUCUGCCGUUCUGAAUCAAUUUCAGCAACAGCAAAGUAUGCUAUCACCUAUUAAUACAAAUUACUCUCCUAAAAGUAUCGAGCAUCCUCUCUUGCAGGCUUCUCUAUCCGGUAGGAUGUCUCCUCGAAAUGUUGAGCCUAUCUCACCUAUGAGCUCGCGAGUUUCAAUGUUAGCUCAACGGGAGAAGCAGCAAGAAUUUCGCAGCCUAAGCUCUAGGGAGCUUGGCUCUGGCUUGGCUGCUAUUGUUGGUUCCCCGGUUAAUUCAUGGUCGAAAUGGGGAUCUUCCAAUGGGAAGCCAGACUGGGCUGUCAAUGCCGAUGGGGUAGGCAAGCAUCGCAGAUCCUCCUCGUUUGAGCAUGGUAAUGGAGACGAGCCCGAUUUAUCAUGGGUUCAGUCUCUUGUAAAAGAGUCUCCCACUGAGAUCAAAGACAAAAUAGCAGCACCGGUCUCAGGUGAGGGUUCUAGCAGGAACUCGGAUACAGUUGAUAAUGCCAUGCUGGGAGCUUGGCUUGAGCAAAUGCAGCUCGAUCAACUUGUGGCUCAGCAAAACUGAAAACUGUUUUAGCUGAGCCCUCCUGAGGUAGUUCAUCAAAAAAAGGUUUUGGUAAAUAACAUUUGUAUUUUUUCUUCGGAUUUUUGGAUUCUGUUGGUGAUUUAAUGUUGAAGGUAAAGAGGAACAAGGUGAAGGCAAAGAGAUUGAGGUCAGUUUGACGAAAGGAGGCUUCAAUUUUCAUUUAUUAUUAUUAUUACAACAAAGAGUUAGAACAGGAUGAGAAUAAUAUCCAUCAUGUUUAAAGAAAUUGACCAGUUUUUUUCUUUUCAUUAUAAUUUUUCUUCCAAUAUUUCUAAAUUAGAUUUCUGUUGCUGCCAUCUUAAAAUUUAUGAUACUUUGAUGAUGGUGGUGGUGAUGAUGAUGAUGAUGAUGUAACCUUCAACUGAAGUUUAUUGCUUAAUUUCUAUUCCAAAUAGCUUCGUUUUUA
Gossypium arboreum is the source of this 2573-nucleotide RNA transcript. It is a transcript of the gene named zinc finger CCCH domain-containing protein 30-like, with no coding region annotated. The record is from RefSeq and is a predicted model, not a curated record. The transcript has a single exon. NCBI's taxonomy places the organism in Eukaryota, Viridiplantae, Streptophyta, Magnoliopsida, Malvales, Malvaceae.